AUUCAUACGUUUUUAAAGUCUAUACAAUUAAUAAUGUUUUUUACCGAGCUUCACAGAUAUAUUGGUAUCAUCUACUAACCAUUAUCUAUUGAACAAAAAGGUGUAAUAUUUAGCUGCGUAUUUUUGCGCAACUCGUUGUAGUAAGCCGUUGAAUUUUGUUUCCCGGUAGGCGAACGAACGAAAUCGUGGUUGCCGGUGUUGAUAUCGUCCGCCGUCAAUGAUCACGAACAUGUCGAGAGUAGACGUGGUGCUGUUCAGGGUUUGGCGUUCGCUCAAUGCGUUCUCUCACGAUGAUUAUCACUUGUCAACCGUGUCCGAGGGAACCCGGGUCACUAGAUUGCAUCCGCAGUCGGCAGCUAACGGGAAAUCGUCUUUACCGGAUGAUCGCCUUUGAACGGAACAAAUUGUUAAGUGGUCAGUGGUCACGGACAAUACAGG
Long non-coding RNA from Sipha flava (yellow sugarcane aphid), 438 nucleotides. RefSeq lists it as uncharacterized. The record is from RefSeq and is a predicted model, not a curated record. The transcript has 3 exons. NCBI's taxonomy places the organism in Eukaryota, Metazoa, Arthropoda, Insecta, Hemiptera, Aphididae.